This 439-nucleotide ribosomal RNA is filed under the name uncultured bacterium. Its description in RNAcentral is "bacterial SSU rRNA". It matches the Rfam family "Bacterial small subunit ribosomal RNA", at positions 69 to 479 of the family's 1533-position model. The record is from RNAcentral.
GACAUGGGAAGCUUGCUUCCUAUGAAAUCGAGUGGCAAACGGGUGAGUAACGCGUAAACAACCUGCCCUUCGGAUGGGGAUAACAGCCGGAAACGGCUGCUAAUACCGAAUACGAUCUUUUCGUCGCAUGACGGAAAGAAGAAAGGAUGGCCUCUAUACAAAGCUAUCGCCGAAGGAGGGGUUUGCGUCUGAUUAGCUGGUUGGAGGGGUAACGGCCCAACAAGGCGAUGAUCAGUAGCCGGUCUGAGAGGAUGAACGGCCACAUUGGGACUGAGACACGGCCCAGACUCCUACGGGAGGCAGCAGUGGGGAAUCUUCCGCAAUGGACGAAAGUCUGACGGAGCAACGCCGCGUGAGUGAAGAAGGUCUUCGGAUUGUAAAACUCUGUUAUACGGGACGAAAAAGACGGAUGCCAACAGUAUCUGUCCGUGACGGUACC